GUGAGUCGAGCUGACAGACAAGACGAUCGCGGAUGAUUUAGUUCCGAAACGAAAUGCAAAGGUGCCUGUAUGGCAAUAUUUUGGAUUUUGAAAAGCCAGAUCUGAAGAGCA
Molecule: long non-coding RNA, 111 nt
Organism: Sinocyclocheilus rhinocerous
Lineage: Eukaryota; Metazoa; Chordata; Actinopteri; Cypriniformes; Cyprinidae
Exons: 3
Source: RefSeq, a predicted model, not a curated record